Danio rerio (zebrafish) is the source of this 298-nucleotide non-coding RNA. NCBI's taxonomy places the organism in Eukaryota, Metazoa, Chordata, Actinopteri, Cypriniformes, Danionidae. The record is from Rfam.
GCCGGGUUCAGUGGCGCGCGCCUGUAAUCCAAGCUACUGGGAGGCUGAGGCUGCGGAUCGCUUGAGCUCAGGGCUUCUGGACUGCAGUGGACUAUGCCGAUCAGGUGUCUGCGCUAAGUUUGGUAUCGAUAUGGUGCUCCUGGGGGAGCUCAGGACCACCAGGUUGUUUAAGAAGGGGUGAACCGGCCCAGGUCGGAGACGGAGCAGGUCAAAUCCCCUGUGCUGAUUAGUAGUGGGAUUGCACCUACGAAUAGACACUGCAGUGCAGCCUGAGCAACACAGAGAGACGCAGACUUUU